UCAUGUUAAAUUGGGGCGUUAGCGGUGCCCUGUAACUCGAAAUCCGCUCUAGCGAGGAUGAAAACUUGAAUGAGGGAGAAUUUUAUUUUAUUUCUUUAUAAAAAGUGGUGUUGAGAAUUUGAAUUUAUGCAAUUAAAAUUUUGUGAAGUUCGUCAGGGCGGGAACGCAGCAGCGAUAAGCAACACGUUUUAGUGUGUGUGGACAAUCAAAUUUGAGCUGAAUUUUAUUGAGAGUUAUUUAAAAUUAUCUCGAUUUCAUGCACAUGA
Molecule: signal recognition particle RNA, 266 nt
Filed under: Clostridiales bacterium
Lineage: Bacteria; Bacillati; Bacillota; Clostridia; Eubacteriales
Description: signal recognition particle sRNA large type
Rfam family: Bacterial large signal recognition particle RNA
About the family: The signal recognition particle (SRP) is a universally conserved ribonucleoprotein involved in the co-translational targeting of proteins to membranes.
Source: RNAcentral